This 572-nucleotide long non-coding RNA is filed under the name Homo sapiens (human). RNAcentral's name for it is "HSALNT0078180". The record is from RNAcentral. Lineage: Eukaryota; Metazoa; Chordata; Mammalia; Primates; Hominidae.
GUUUCACUUUUGUUGCCCAGGUUGGAGUGCAGUGGCUCCAUCUUGGCUCACUGCGACCUCCACCUUCUGGUUUCAAGCAAUUCUUCAGCCUCAGCCUCCCAAGUAGCUGGGAUUACAGGUGCCCACCACCACACCCGGCUAAUUUUUAUAUUUUAUUAGAGAAGGAGUUUCAUCAUGUUGGCGAGGCUGGUCUUGAACUCCUGACCUCGUGAUCCGCCUGCCUCGGCCUCCUAAAUGCUGGGAUUACAGGUGUGAGCCAGGCGGGAAGUGCCCUUUCAGGGACUCUGGACUUGUGACAGUCCCUGUUUCCCCGUUUCCUUCCUUUUCACCCAAUAAAACCCUGCCUUACUCACCAUUCAAAUUAACUUCAAGCCUGAAUUUUUGUGGAUGUCUAUCUUUAGCUGAACUAAGGACAAAGGACCCCCAUCUUUAGCUGAACUAAGGAAAAGUCCUGCAACAUUUUUGGUGCUCAACAUAGGGCUCCAGAAGCGAGAACACCAAGAAUAAAAUCAUGAACUGUGGCAUGGAGAAAAAUAAUCAUGCAAACAUUUUCAGAAGUUAUCAAGUAGUAA